This 500-nucleotide ribosomal RNA is filed under the name Bacillus sp. (in: firmicutes). Its description in RNAcentral is "bacterial SSU rRNA". It matches the Rfam family "Bacterial small subunit ribosomal RNA", at positions 57 to 539 of the family's 1533-position model. Lineage: Bacteria; Bacillati; Bacillota; Bacilli; Caryophanales; Bacillaceae. The record is from RNAcentral.
GACAGUCAGAGCGGACAGAAGGGAGCUUGCUCCCGGAUGUUAGCGGCGGACGGGUGAGUAACACGUGGGUAACCUGCCUGUAAGACUGGGAUAACUCCGGGAAACCGGAGCUAAUACCGGAUAGUUCCUUGAACCGCAUGGUUCAAGGAUGAAAGACGGUUUCGGCUGUCACUUACAGAUGGACCCGCGGCGCAUUAGCUAGUUGGUGGGGUAAUGGCUCACCAAGGCGACGAUGCGUAGCCGACCUGAGAGGGUGAUCGGCCACACUGGGACUGAGACACGGCCCAGACUCCUACGGGAGGCAGCAGUAGGGAAUCUUCCGCAAUGGACGAAAGUCUGACGGAGCAACGCCGCGUGAGUGAUGAAGGUUUUCGGAUCGUAAAGCUCUGUUGUUAGGGAAGAACAAGUGCGAGAGUAACUGCUCGCACCUUGACGGUACCUAACCAGAAAGCCACGGCUAACUACGUGCCAGCAGCCGCGGUAAUACGUAGGUGGCAAGC